UACGUAAGAUCGAAUGGACUCGUCCUCUUUCUAUUUGAUGAUCUGGAGGUAGUCUGAAUGCUUCUGUUGUCACCAACUGAUGAUGAAAUGGACAGCAAAAGUUUGGCUCAGUUGUCGAAAAGAGUGAAUAGAAGCUAGCUUUAGACUGGAAUACCAAAGUCGAACUGCCUCCUUCAAUGUGGAGAGGAAGGCUCGGUACAAGAUAGC
RNAcentral lists this long non-coding RNA (207 nucleotides) under Elaeis guineensis (African oil palm). RNAcentral describes it as "long non-coding RNA (EGUI_LNC011767)". The record is from RNAcentral. Lineage: Eukaryota; Viridiplantae; Streptophyta; Magnoliopsida; Arecales; Arecaceae.